This 80-nucleotide transfer RNA is filed under the name Catellatospora sp. TT07R-123. RNAcentral describes it as "tRNA-Lys". Lineage: Bacteria; Bacillati; Actinomycetota; Actinomycetes; Micromonosporales; Micromonosporaceae. The record is from RNAcentral.
GGUUCACGCGGAUGGAUGGCCUCAUGUGAUGCGGACUUUUAAUCCGUAGGUUCAGGGUUCGAGUCCCUGGCGGCCCACCA